This 303-nucleotide non-coding RNA is filed under the name Phascolarctos cinereus (koala). The record is from RNAcentral. Lineage: Eukaryota; Metazoa; Chordata; Mammalia; Diprotodontia; Phascolarctidae.
GUUAGGUGUGGUGGCAGCCACCUAUUCUCCCUGUUAAUGGGGAGACUGAGGCUGGUGGAUCCCUUCAGCAUGGGAGAUCUGACCUGCAGUAGGUCUAAAGCUGACCACGUGUCCCCAGUAAGUUCUUCACCAAUAUAGUGAUCCCCUGAGAGUAGGGGGAAGGUAUCAGCUGCCUAAGGAAGGUGAACCAGCCCAGGGUAGAAAUGGAGCAGGUCAAAGCUCCUAUGCCAAUUACCACUUGGAUCAUGCCCAUGAGCGGCUGCUUCAAUUCCAGCCUGGGCAAGAUAAGGAGACCCAAUCUCA